Coffea eugenioides is the source of this 809-nucleotide long non-coding RNA. RefSeq lists it as uncharacterized. The transcript has 2 exons. The record is from RefSeq and is a predicted model, not a curated record. NCBI's taxonomy places the organism in Eukaryota, Viridiplantae, Streptophyta, Magnoliopsida, Gentianales, Rubiaceae.
GUCCCUGUCCACCUGAUCUAAUCCGUCUCGACUCUCGAUCUAAACUUCCCCACUCCACCAGACCAGACCGCCGGCGAAAUCAGCCAUCGGCAAGCCGCCGAGCACCAUUUUCAAAACCUACAAUCAAGCAGGUUUGGAGUUGUUUUAAUUACGGAGGAGUUAGGUUCCACCUUCGACUAGUUGAAGCCAGAAAGGAAGAAGGUUCAAGGGUUGGGUGUAUUUGGAAAUGGCAUUGCUGAAUGUGUUGAAGGGCGAGCCACUGGUGACGAAGCUGGCAGCAGUGGCUAAGUAUGCUGUUCUUCCAGGUGCUAUGAUUGCUGCUCUGAUCUAUUCACCUCCAGAUUAUUUGUGUAAGAAGCCUCAACCUGCUUCAGCUUCCAAGUAGACUUGGUGUGCUUCAGCUUCUCACCAUGUAAUUCCCAUCGGGAACUUUGAGUGCUUAAAUUAAAUAAAAGCCUUUCCAGAGUUUACUGAAAUGGUGCAGCAGUUUAGUAAGUGCUAUGUAAUGAGUAAUUUUCACAGCUAUGUUAGGCUCACCUUAAAUUUCAGGAUUUUUGGAAUUGAAUGUUUCUUUUCAUUUGAAGAUUGUUAAGCAGCUUCCAAAUGAAAAAUGAAUUGAUGUUUCAGUUAAUGAGUUUAUAGCUGGCUUUGAGCUAUUCAGAUGGGGUGAAUUACUCACCAACAUUUUUAGUUGUGGAUGCCAAUGUUGGGAUUGGGGUUGUUGCUGGAACAAACAAUUGUCUAGUUGAUGAAGUAGCUGACUCUGUUGUGUCUAAUUGCAAUUUACUGCCACAGACUGAUCUUUGAAA